CUUGACGACCAUAGAGCAUUGGAACCACCUGAUCCCAUCCCGAACUCAGCAGUGAAACGAUGC
This 63-nucleotide ribosomal RNA is filed under the name Pseudomonas mosselii. Lineage: Bacteria; Pseudomonadati; Pseudomonadota; Gammaproteobacteria; Pseudomonadales; Pseudomonadaceae. The record is from RNAcentral. RNAcentral also lists the same sequence under 1 other name.